ACCUGGCUGGCUCAGUGAACGGAGCGUGCGACUCUUGAUCUCGGGGUUGUGGGUUCAAGCCCCACGUUGGGUG
This 73-nucleotide transfer RNA is filed under the name Felis catus (domestic cat). It matches the Rfam family "tRNA". From Rfam's summary of the family: Transfer RNA (tRNA) molecules are approximately 80 nucleotides in length. Their secondary structure includes four short double-helical elements and three loops (D, anti-codon, and T loops). Further hydrogen bonds mediate the characteristic L-shaped molecular structure. tRNAs have two regions of fundamental functional importance: the anti-codon, which is responsible for specific mRNA codon recognition, and the 3' end, to which the tRNAs corresponding amino acid is attached (by aminoacyl-tRNA synthetases). tRNAs cope with the degeneracy of the genetic code in two manners: having more than one tRNA (with a specific anti-codon) for a particular amino acid; and 'wobble' base-pairing, i.e. permitting non-standard base-pairing at the 3rd anti-codon position. The record is from Rfam by way of RNAcentral. Lineage: Eukaryota; Metazoa; Chordata; Mammalia; Carnivora; Felidae.